Ribosomal RNA from Lepisosteus oculatus (spotted gar), 119 nucleotides. The record is from Ensembl. NCBI's taxonomy places the organism in Eukaryota, Metazoa, Chordata, Actinopteri, Semionotiformes, Lepisosteidae.
GCCAGCAGCCAUAUCACCCUGCAACUCACAACUGGCAGCCCACUGAAGCUAGGCAGGAGUGAGCCUGGUCAAUACCUGUAUGGGAAACCUCCUGGGAAAAACUAAGGUUGCUGCUGGAA